RNAcentral lists this ribosomal RNA (497 nucleotides) under uncultured bacterium. Its description in RNAcentral is "partial 16S ribosomal RNA". It matches the Rfam family "Bacterial small subunit ribosomal RNA", at positions 28 to 507 of the family's 1533-position model. The record is from RNAcentral.
GAUGAACGCUGGCGGCGUGCCUAAUACAUGCAAGUCGAGCGAACGGACGAGAAGCUUGCUUCUCUGAUGUUAGCGGCGGACGGGUGAGUAACACGUGGAUAACCUACCUAUAAGACUGGGAUAACUUCGGGAAACCGGAGCUAAUACCGGAUGAUAUUUUUAACCGCAUGGUUCAAAAGUGAAAGACGGUCUUGCUGUCACUUAUAGAUGGAUCCGCGCUGCAUUAGCUAGUUGGUAAGGUAACGGCUUACCAAGGCAACGAUGCAUAGCCGACCUGAGAGGGUGAUCGGCAACACUGGAACGGAGACCCGGUCCAGACUCCUACGGGAGGCAGCAGUAGGGAAUCUUCAGCAAUGAGCGAAAGCCUGACGGAGCAACGCCGCGUGAGUGAUGAAGUUCUUCGGAUCGUAAAACUCUGUUAUUGGGGAAGAACAUAUGUGUAAGUAACUGUGCACAUCUUGACGGUACCUAAUCAGAAAGCCACGGCUAACUACGUG